GGACAGAAGGGAGCUUGCUCCCGGAUGUUAGCGGCGGACGGGUGAGUAACACGUGGGUAACCUGCCUGUAAGACUGGGAUAACUCCGGGAAACCGGAGCUAAUACCGGAUAGUUCCUUGAACCGCAUGGUUCAAGGAUGAAAGACGGUUUCGGCUGUCACUUACAGAUGGACCCGCGGCGCAUUAGCUAGUUGGUGAGGUAACGGCUCACCAAGGCGACGAUGCGUAGCCGACCUGAGAGGGUGAUCGGCCACACUGGGACUGAGACACGGCCCAGACUCCUACGGGAGGCAGCAGUAGGGAAUCUUCCGCAAUGGACGAAAGUCUGACGGAGCAACGCCGCGUGAGUGAUGAAGGUUUUCGGAUCGUAAAGCUCUGUUGUUAGGGAAGAACAAGUGCAAGAGUAACUGCUUGCACCUUGACGGUACCUAACCAGAAAGCCACGGCUAAGCUACGUGCCAGCAGCCGCGGUAAUACGUAGGUGGCAAGCGUUGUCCGGAAUUAUUGGGCGUAAAGGGCUCGCAGGCGGUUUCUUAAGUCUGAUGUGAAAGCCCCCGGCUCAACCGGGGAGGGUCAUUGGAAACUGGGAAACUUGAGUGCAGAAGAGGAGAGUGGAAUUCCACGUGUAGCGGUGAAAUGCGUAGAGAUGUGGAGGAACACCAGUGGCGAAGGCGACUCUCUGGUCUGUAACUGACGCUGAGGAGCGAAAGCGUGGGGAGCGAACAGGAUUAGAUACCCUGGGUAGUCCACGCCGUAACGAUUGAGUGCUAAGUGUUUAGGGGGUUUCCCGCCCCUUAGUGCUGCAGCUAACGCAUUAAGCACUCCGCCUGGGGAGUACGGUCGCAAGACUGAACUCAAGGAAUUGACGGGGGGCCCGCACAAGCGGUGGAGCAUGUGUUUUAUUUCGAAGCAACGCGAAAGAAACCUUAACCAGGUCUUUGACAUCCUCUGACAACCCUAGAGAAUAGGGCUUUCCCCUUCGGGGACAGAAGUGACAGGGGG
This 1001-nucleotide ribosomal RNA is filed under the name Bacillus sp. (in: firmicutes). RNAcentral's name for it is "bacterial SSU rRNA". It matches the Rfam family "Bacterial small subunit ribosomal RNA", at positions 66 to 1041 of the family's 1533-position model. Lineage: Bacteria; Bacillati; Bacillota; Bacilli; Caryophanales; Bacillaceae. The record is from RNAcentral.